GUCCCAGACUCCUACGGGAGGCAGCAGUGGGGAAUAUUGGACAAUGGGGGGAACCCUGAUCCAGCGACGCCGCGUGAGUGAAGAAGUAUUUCGGUAUGUAAAGCUCUAUCAGCAGGGAAGAAAGAAAUGACGGUACCUGACUAAGAAGCCCCGGCUAACUACGUGCCAGCAGCCGCGGUAAUACGUAGGGGGCAAGCGUUAUCCGGAAUUACUGGGUGUAAAGGGAGCGCAGACGGCAGUGCAAGUCUGGAGUGAAAGCCCGUGGCUUAACCACGGGACUGCUCUGGAAACUGUGCAGCUAGAGUGCAGGAGAGGCAGGCGGAAUUCCCAGUGUAGCGGUGAAAUGCGUAGAUAUUAGGAGGAACACCAGUGGCGAAGGCGGCUUACUGGACUGUAACUGACGUUGAGGCUCGAAAGCGUGGGGAGCAAACAGGAUUAGAUACCCGAGUACG
Molecule: ribosomal RNA, 452 nt
Filed under: uncultured bacterium
Lineage: Bacteria
Description: bacterial SSU rRNA
Rfam family: Bacterial small subunit ribosomal RNA
Source: RNAcentral